RNAcentral lists this ribosomal RNA (786 nucleotides) under Triticum aestivum (bread wheat). Its description in RNAcentral is "partial small subunit ribosomal RNA". Lineage: Eukaryota; Viridiplantae; Streptophyta; Magnoliopsida; Poales; Poaceae. The record is from RNAcentral.
AUGGACGCGGCGGCGACCACUGCCGACCUGCUCUCCGCGCUGGCGCCCUCCUGGAGCGCGGCGGUGGUGCUGGCCUCCUACCUCGCGUACCUCGCCGCCGCCGCCGCCCUCCUCCCCGGCAAGCUCGUCGCCGUCCUCCCCGACUCCUCCCGUCUCCACUACCGUUGCAAUGGUCUGCUCCCACUGCCGCUGCUCCUGGGGCUCUCCGCGCUUGGCGUCUACAUGGGCUGGAUGACUCCCACGGUGAGAUCCACGGUGGGGUUUCUUGCCUCCGCCCUCCCGCCCCACCACCGGCCCGUCCGCCAUGUCGAAGCAAGGAGGGAAGGCCAAGCCGCUCAAGCAGGCCAAGGUCGCCGAGAAGGACUACCACGAGCCCAGGGCGAAAAAAAAAAGAAACAACGCGAGGACGAGGGAAUCGAUCGCUCCAACUCCUUCCUGUCUCUUCGGUUCGCGAGCGCAUCGACUUGGCAAAAAAGGGGCUGGCAGUGGCGGCUGGCCUCGACGCUGAGCCAUAGACGGCUAGACGCAUGGCCGGCGGGGAGCGGACUCGAGGCUCCCAGGCAGUCUACUGAUCCGGUCGUCCAAUCGGCCCCUCCUUCCUCUCUUCCGGCUUCGGCUACAGCUUCGGUUAUCUUCAGAGCUACAGCUUGGAUCCAUACGUGGUCCUUACUCACUCCUAUGGACUCCAGGGAGCCUUUGGUUACUGGGUGCAACCAAUGGGAGAUGGUAGCUCGGGUUAUCUUCAACCGGUUCGGAUGGCGCUCGCAUAAUAGGAUAGGAGUCUAG